GACGAACGCUGGCGGCGUGCUUAACACAUGCAAGUCGAACGGUGAAGCGCCUUCCUUUUUGGUGGGUGUGGAUGAGUGGCGAACGGGUGAGUAACACGUGAGUAACCUGCCCCCUUCUUCUGGAUAACCGCAUGAAAGUGUGGCUAAUACGGGAUAUUCUGGGUCUGUCGCAUGAUGGGUCUGGGAAAGAUAUUGUUUCGGUGGGGGAUGGGCUCGCGGCCUAUCAGCUUGUUGGUGGGGUGAUGGCCUACCAAGGCGGUGACGGGUAGCCGGCCUGAGAGGGUGGACGGUCACACUGGGACUGAGACACGGCCCAGACUCCUACGGGAGGCAGCAGUGGGGAAUAUUGCACAAUGGGCGCAAGCCUGAUGCAGCGACGCCGCGUGAGGGAUGGAGGCCUUCGGGUUGUGAACCUCUUUCGCCAGUGAAGCAGGCCUGCCUCGUUUGUGGGUGGGUGGACGGUAGCUGGAUAAGAAGCGCCGGCUAACUACGU
This 493-nucleotide ribosomal RNA is filed under the name uncultured bacterium. RNAcentral describes it as "partial 16S ribosomal RNA". It matches the Rfam family "Bacterial small subunit ribosomal RNA", at positions 28 to 506 of the family's 1533-position model. The record is from RNAcentral.